Molecule: ribosomal RNA, 497 nt
Filed under: uncultured bacterium
Lineage: Bacteria
Description: partial 16S ribosomal RNA
Rfam family: Bacterial small subunit ribosomal RNA
Source: RNAcentral
GACGAACGCUGGCGGCGUGCCUAAUACAUGCAAGUUGAGCGAUGAAGAUUGGUGCUUGCACGGAUUUGAAGAGCAGAGAACGGGUGAGUAACGCGUGGGGAAUCUGCCUUUGAGCGGGGGACAACAUUUGGAAACGAAUGCUAAUACCGCAUAACAACUUUAAACAUAAGUUUUAAGUUUGAAAGAUGCAAUUGCAUCACUCAAAGAUGAUCCCGCGUUGUAUUAGCUAGUUGGUGAGGUAAAGGCUCACCAAGGCGAUGAUACAUAGCCGACCUGAGAGGGUGAUCGGCCACAUUGGGACUGAGACACGCCCCAUACGCAUACGGGAGGCAGCAGUAGGGAAUCUUCGGCAAUCGACGAAAGUCUGGCCGAGCAACGCCGCGUGAGUGAACACGGUUUUCGGAUCGUAAAACUCUGUUGGUAGAGAAGAACGUUGGUGAGAGUGGAAAGCUCAUCAAGUGACGGUAACUACCCAGAAAGGGACGGCUAACUACGUG